AUUAAAAAUUUUCAGGUAGUAAAAUUUAUCUAAACCUUAAAAUCAUGGCGGCAUUUUUUAUUAUUAGAGGAACUUGUUUAUUAAUUGAUAACUCACAUUACUUUUUACUUAAUUUAAUAAAUCUAUAUACCACCAUUUAAAGAAUAUAUCUUAUAUAAAAUUCUUAAUAUAAAUCUAAAAAAAUAGGUAAAGGUAUAAUUCAUAAUUAAGAUUAAAUGCGUUACUUUUAAAAAAAUUAAAGAAUUAUUAUUUAAAAAUAUUUUGAAAAAGAAUUUAAAAGUAAUUUUUAAAUAAUAAUUAAAUUAGAAAUUUUUUAAAAUGUGC
This 324-nucleotide ribosomal RNA is filed under the name Acrobleps hygrophilus. RNAcentral's name for it is "partial 12S ribosomal RNA". Lineage: Eukaryota; Metazoa; Arthropoda; Arachnida; Araneae; Mysmenidae. The record is from RNAcentral.